Molecule: long non-coding RNA, 1874 nt
Organism: Oncorhynchus mykiss (rainbow trout)
Lineage: Eukaryota; Metazoa; Chordata; Actinopteri; Salmoniformes; Salmonidae
Source: Ensembl
GACAGGAAACCCAGACACACUACAAAAACCUUACUGCAAUAUAUUCCUAGUAGUAAACACCAUGUAAUAGGCAAGCUUCUGCAUAUAAAUAAUCAGAGAUCAUGUAGUUAUGGUUAUCCAUCAAUUAAGUCAUAUUUGUUCAUCACAGAUUAUAAUGUUGAUGUAAUGUGGGUCCAUUUUCUGACUAGGAGGAGCUAAGAUGAGAGGUGGAGAGAUGAUUCUCCUCUAUCUGACUGGAACAGUGGGAUGUCUUCAGUUCUGCCUCCUGAUAACACACUGUUACACCCAUCACCAUGUUUCUCUACCCAGUGUUUCUCCUCUCUGCACUUGUUGGUGGCAGUUAUGAAAAUUACAUAAAACCAACUUCAGAGACAGAACAUGGCGUGGAGGGAAGCAAUGUUACACUGUUUUGCAACUACUCAGGGUCAUCAAUAUUGUCACGACUUCCACCGAAGUCGUUUCCUCUCCUUGUUCGGGCGGUGUUCGGCGGUCGGCGUCACCGGUCUUCUAGCCAUCGUCGAUCCAAUUUUCAUUUUCCAUUUGUUUUGUCUUGUUUUCUUACACACCUGGUUUCCAUUUCCAUCAUUAAUUGUUGUGUAUUUAGCCCUCUGUUCCCCCCAUGUCCUUGUGUGGAAUUGUUUGUUUGUAAGUGCUUGUACGUUAUGUUACUGGUGCGUGUCAGGUUUUCUACCCAUGUAGGUUCUUUUGUAUUGCCAUGGGUUUUGUAAUUAAACUGCUCCGGCUAUUACCUAUCUCUGCUCUGCUGCUUCUGACUUCACUUCCACCAGUUCCGCAACCCUUACAAAUAUUGCAUCUUCAAUGGUAUUGUCAAUACCCAGAUCAGCACUCCAAUUCCUCCUCUACACUACAGUCUCUUUAAAGCCCUCUGUAAUAAGGGCUGAACCCGAUGACCCUCGAAUGUUUGUUAAUUUGAAUAAAGAGAGAGCCCGUGUGGAUCUGGAGAUCUCCUCUGCUGAAGUGACAGACUCUGCUCGUCCUACUGUAGGUUCAAGAAAAUCAAUUAUUAAAAUACUUUAUUGGACUUCACUCCAGCAUAUAACCUCAGCUACAAUAUGAUGGUUCUCUACACAGUUACUUUACUUUCUGCUCUGACAGGUUAGUAAAUGACUGUAUUCCUCUCAUUCUUUUAACCAAUGUAUAUCUGUAUUAUUGGAUUUUAGAGUAAAUACCAACAUCUGUCCUCAUUUCAAAUUCAUCUACCUUGUGAUUUAUCCAUCACCUCUUCACAUUUUCGGGUGACAGUUUUCAACAGACCAUCCAGCCAAACCAACAUGAAGUGUAGGAAGAGGAGGGUAGUAAUGUUCAACUUUCCUGCAACUACUCCUCAGCACACAGUGUACUGUGAUAUAAACAGCAUCAGCUCCCCAAUUCCUCCUCUUCAUCCUCCAUGCCUCUAGGACUGUAGUGAGAGCUAAACCUCCCUACACUCACUUUCCUAUUAAACUGAGCAAAGAGAAGACCUGUGGAUCUGGAGAUCUCCUUGCUGAAGUGAAAGACCCUUUAAUAAUGUUUACAUACAGCGCCUUGCGAAAGUAUUCGGCCCCCUUGAACUUUGCGACCUUUUGCCACAUUUCAGCCUUCAAACAAAGAUAUAAAACUGUAUUUUUUUUGUGAAGAAUCAACAACAAGUGGGACACAUUCGUGAAGUGGAACGACAUUUAUCGGAUAUUUCAAACUUGGGCGUGCAAAAUUAUUCAGCCCCUUUACUUUCAGUGCAGCAAACUCUCACCAGAAGUUCAGUGAGGAUCUCUGAAUGAUCCAAUGUUGACCUAAAUGAUGAUAAAUACAAUCCACCUGUGUGUAAUCAAGUCUCCGUAUAAAUGCACCUGCACUGUGAUAGUCUCAGAGGUCCG